GGAGAGAUGUCCGAGUGGUCGAAGGUGCACGAUUGGAAGUCGUGUAUGCCGAAAGGCAUCGGGGGUUCGAAUCCCCCUCUCUCCG
Molecule: transfer RNA, 85 nt
Filed under: Treponema sp.
Lineage: Bacteria; Pseudomonadati; Spirochaetota; Spirochaetia; Treponematales; Treponemataceae
Description: tRNA-Ser
Rfam family: tRNA
About the family: Transfer RNA (tRNA) molecules are approximately 80 nucleotides in length.
Source: RNAcentral